RNAcentral lists this long non-coding RNA (1178 nucleotides) under Mus spicilegus (steppe mouse). RNAcentral describes it as "lncRNA (ENSMSIG00000025353.1)". The record is from RNAcentral. Lineage: Eukaryota; Metazoa; Chordata; Mammalia; Rodentia; Muridae.
GGGAAGGCUCAGAAGGCUAGAACAGUAAUAAAAAGGUCAACCUGAGACUGAAAGAAAUGUGAGGGAUGUCAUGUAUAGGAAUAAUACACACAUUAUAGAAAUCUUGCAGAGUGAAGACAAAGUAAAGGGAUCGUUAAGAUAAUUUAAUGAUGACUAAAACCUUUGCAUCCUGGGAAAUGAAAUGGUUGCUCAGUUUGCCAAAGCCCAAAGCAUUCCAAAAGAUUAGUCAGCAUUUUUGGGUGACCGCUAAGGCUGGCAUGGUAGCUCUGUGCUACUCUGAACCUUGCUUCCAAGGUCACGUUUUCUUUUCCUUUUAUUCCCUAGGAUCUAUGUGAGUUAAUUGGCCUCAGAAAGACAUUGAAGCAUGAUUUUAUCUUCACCACAUCUGCUCAGCAUGCUUCAUUGUAGUCUGACCCUAUGACCCCACUUGAGCAGAGUCUCCUUACUCAGCCUCCUAAUCAAGUGAUUAGUGGGAGACUGCCUAUGCUUGGAUCUACCUCAGAACUUCAGAAUCCUGUAGCUGGGAUUGGAACCGCUUCUGUCGAGAAAGACAACAGCUCUGUCAAGCAGCAAAUUUGUUCACUCAGGCUUGGCAUUUCUACCUCUCAUUGAUGAAUUGGGCUCCACAAUACGGGGUGCAUAGCAAAUCCCUUGACUUAGAGACAGGCUGAGGAUGCGUCACACAUUAGGAGGAAAUGAGUAAGAAGGAAGAAGGAACAUCUGGACUAGCCAGGAAAAUGAACUGUCAUCAUUACAAUUUGGAUGCUAUGUCCACAGCCAAGACUGGUGUUACUGGCCCCAUCCUUGUGCUUGUUGGAUAUGGAUCUCAAAACUGCAAAGGUAACUUGCCCAUUUGUACAGAUCUCAUAAUUUCACACGGAAGAGCAAAACUUAAGUAUGAUAAAGUCAGAGAGUUGUUAUGUAGCCAAAUCAUCUAAUCUAGAUUUAGUGUGUGUGUGUGUGUGUGUGUGUGUGUAAGGGGAGGUCGUGUUUGCUGAUGAUACAAAUUCAAAGCUGAGGUAGGUAUGAGUAGUCGGCCGCUGAAAUGUCAGCUGAUGCAGCGUUGGCCUGAGUCAUAGAACGUGGGAAUGUCAAGCUGGUACUGAUCUGGAAGCAUCAUCUCUACUGCUGUGCUUCACAUCAAUAAAGGAUGCUACAGACACGACUGGAAGGAAAUG